GAAGGGUGCAAGCGUUAAUCGGAAUUACUGGGCGUAAAGCGUGCGUAGGCGGUUUCUUAAGUCCGUUGUGAAAGCCCUGGGCUCAACCUGGGAACUGCGAUGGAUACUGAGGAGCUGGAGUACGGUAGAGGAAGGUGGAAUUCCCGGUGUAGCGGUGAAAUGCGUAGAGAUCGGGAGGAACAUCAGUGGCGAAGGCGGCCUUCUGGACCAGUACUGACGCUGAGGCACGAAAGCGUGGGGAGCAAACAGGAUUAGAUACCCUGGUAGUCCACGCCCUAAACGAUGCGGACUGGACGUUGGGCACAACUUGGUGCUCAGUGUCGAAGCUAACGCGUUAAGUCCGCCGCCUGGGGAGUACGCUCGCAAGGCUG
RNAcentral lists this ribosomal RNA (371 nucleotides) under uncultured bacterium. RNAcentral's name for it is "bacterial SSU rRNA". It matches the Rfam family "Bacterial small subunit ribosomal RNA", at positions 527 to 896 of the family's 1533-position model. The record is from RNAcentral.